This 534-nucleotide long non-coding RNA is filed under the name Pan troglodytes (chimpanzee). Its description in RNAcentral is "long non-coding RNA NONPTRT000402". Lineage: Eukaryota; Metazoa; Chordata; Mammalia; Primates; Hominidae. The record is from RNAcentral.
AGAAGCGAUGCCUAUAACAUCCUUCUAGGAAACCAAUCUGGUGCUUGCUCUAUGGACUAUGCAAUCUCAGGCUUGGAGCCAUGUAGGAUUUCUACCUGGGCUGUAGAUGAGGGUAAAAUAUCCCAUGGAGGACUCCUUCAAUAACCACAUUUGGAAAAUCGCUGGCUGCAGGCAAGACAUAUGGAUCCCUGAGGAACAGCAGCACAGGCUGGUGGGACAGUUUGCUUGACUCUUCAGACUCUGUUUCAUCAAAAGAUCCACAACUUUCUGCCUUUGGUAGAGAGGGCAAGUGUCGCACAUUUAGGAAAUCAAGAAACAGUUUGGGAAGUUCUUCAUUUUCUAAAAUGACAGCCUGUAAGUAUGUUUCCAAGCCUUGUCGUCGCUGUUCCAAGACUUUGGGGACCCAGUUCCUAACAUGUUUAGAAGGGAUUUCUGGAGUUUUUAUACAUUUCUUAAGCUUUUUGUGUAAAGCAUGAAAUUCGCUGUAUCUCUUUUCAACAAAAUGUUUUCUUCCAUUCAUUAGCACUUCUAUCU